This 8847-nucleotide long non-coding RNA is filed under the name Homo sapiens (human). RNAcentral's name for it is "non-protein coding GNAS-AS1:14". The stretch from base 1629 to 1713 matches the Rfam family "mir-298 microRNA precursor family". The record is from RNAcentral. Lineage: Eukaryota; Metazoa; Chordata; Mammalia; Primates; Hominidae.
GAAGAGGUUGCCGAGCCUCGGGGGAGAGGUGGGGUCCCAGGGGCCAACCCUUGGGUGUGUUGAUGGCGGCAGGCUAACCCAGCCAACGGGGUGCCACUGCCGGGCAAGGUGAGGAGCAAGAAGAUUUCCAGGGCUGGGAGGUAGAGGGCCAGGACCCCAAGGAGAGGGCUUACUGCGAGGAGCAGCCCAGGAUGGAUAAGGAGUUGAGGCCCCAGGGAUGCUGAGCCUGCACACUCUGUAGUGACUGGCUACCAGACUCUGAAAAACCUAAGUCCUUUAGGGAAGACCACAAAAGCAUCCAACCACAGUCUGCGCUGCAGCCCGGCAGAACUAAGUCUUGGGCGCCGCGACGCCUUUCCUACGGAAUAGGUCCUGGAAGGAAGACCAUUUAAGUCUUUCCCCCCAGGACUGGCGAGGAGAGCACGCCUUCCCUUCCGAAGGUGCGUUACCAGAUUGCUGCCGUUUUUGUGCUGGGUCAUCAGAGCAGAUUCCCCUCCAGGUUACAGAUUAAACUUAACUCUACCCGUGCUGAAAAUGGCCGGAGCACGCCGCCUCGCCUCCCCUCCCCAAGGCUGCCGGAGCCGCCGGCCCCUGCCUCCUUUUCGACGACUGAUCGUCCAAGGACUGGCGCCGGAUCCAACACCUUUCCCCAGCUCUGCGCGUACCGCGCUCUUUGGAAACGAAUUGGUCCCUGUCUGCUUCCAAGGGUCCCUGGAACCUUCUGCAGCUGUGCCUCUCCAGAGCUCCGCCUCAUUAGUGCCACGUUCCUGGUUUGAAAACCAUAGUACUUCAACCUCUUCUAGAUGGGAGUUAACCUUUGCCCUCUGAAAGAAAGGUUUGAUAAGCAAAGAGAGUUUGGUGAGCAAGAUCCUUGAGGUAAGAGCUGAUCUCUGACGUCCGCUGGGAACUGGCUGCUCUGCAGGUUUCUGUAUCACAUUUUCUGCACAUGUCCAUUAGAAUUGGAGAUGGGGCGUAUCUAGUGUUGAAUAAAGGCCCGGCAGGCCCUCCCAGAUGCACCCUGUCAGACAGAGCCUACUGUGGAUUCUUUAGAAAUGGCUUGACUCAUUCUUGGUGGCGACCACACCACCCACAGGCACCUAAAAUGAAAGGAUUUUUGUUAGCUGGUUACCACCAAACCACCUCAGGCAAUACGUGGGAGACUCCAAACCAGCUGCUGUUAAAAAAAAAAAAAAGGCAGCAGAGCAGUCAUAGAACAGACCCUUCUUACUGCUGCAUACAAGAUGAUCCCAUGGAAUGCAGGCAGCCACAGCUUUGUCCACAUGUGCUCUGUGUAUCUGGGGCUGCUAGGCUGGUUAGAUUUGUGGUCUUCUUCCUCCUGUGGAGGACCCUAGAGAGAGCCAGCCUGAGCCCUCACCGUUGUUCCUUCCCCGGCAGCACUUACAGAAUGAUCCUCUAAGACCUCCCCUCCAGCCCUAGCUGGGUUCCUAAUUUUCCAGCUAUUUAAUAUCUUCUUUAUGUCUCAGUGAAUGUUCCCAGGCAGAGUAGCCAGACAGACUCAUACUGACAGUUCUCAACAGCCAGUCCCAUCCUCCUAAAGAUCUCCAGAAUCAGCCACAUGGACCUGAUGCUAGAGGCCUGUCAGCACUGGGGGACCCGGGAGAAGCAGCUCAGGUCUUCAGCAGAAGCAGGGAGGUUCUCCCAGUGGUUUUCCUUGACUGUGAGGAACUAGCCUGCUGCUUUGCUCAGGAGUGAGCUGCCGGCUCCCCUUUGAUGUGCUGCGUCUGUUCAGAACUAGGCAGGGGUGCUUCACCGUGGCAGCACUUGAGUUAGGCAGUGGUUCAUGGACUCUUCUCCCAGGGCCCCACACAAAACACUGUUAGCACAGACCUGCCACUCAGAUCAAGGUGGCCAGCAGAGCCAUCAGAGAAUAGCCUUCAGAAGAUGAAUGGCAAGGCCAGCCGGCAGCACGUGAGGCCAGGGCAGAGACGCAGUGAACCGUUCCAUGGCGCCCCGAGCCUGCUGCCAAGGCCUCCUUGGAGCUGAGAUGGAGGCGGGGUGGCUGAGAGGCAAGCUGGAUGUGCAUGUUUGGGAAGAGGGCUCCGUAGAAAGUGCUGUAGGGGCCUUGGCUGGGGACCACGUGAGCCCUUGUGCGGAGAGGGCCUGUGUCUGUGGAUCUGGGGUCCACCACAGGCCACUGAGAUGGGACAGGGCUGGGAGGAUUGAGGAGGGAAGAUCCUGAGUGAAAUUGUGAAAUCAGGCCCAGCCUCAUGUGGGAGGUGAGGAGAAAGGACCCUUCCAGAGGGCCCCCCCUCAAUCCUGUUGUGCCUAAUUCAGAGGGUUGGGUGGAGGCUCUCCUGAAGGGCUCUGAAGAGCGCUGCACCCGCAGCUGUGUGCCAGGAGUGGAGACAGGACAGUCGAUACAAGAGGGGCCCCUGUCAUGUCAGCUGCUGAGUCCCCUGGGGCGGCCGGGCACUGGGGAAUGGUGAACUCGCCGUGCCGCGCCUCUGCCACAGUCUCCCGUGGGUCCCCACUGCCGGGAGUUUUACCUACCUCCCACCCUCAGCCACGAGCACCUGCAGGAUGCGGUGCCAUCCUCGCCGGUGCCCGCUCCCCUUCCGGAGGCUCUCUCCACCCUCACUGACGCCUCCUCGGGAAAGCCCCCGCUCCUUCCCCGACCUCACAGCAUGCCAGGUCUGGGGCUUCCGCUGGGGGGCUUACCUGUUUUCCACCCCUGCUAGACUGGGAGCUCCAGGGCAAGGCCGUAGCUGCCUUGCGGAUUGUUACGUUGUCCAGCUUGUCUCCACACGUGAUACCCAGCAGGUGCCUAAUAAACUUGUGUAGAAAGAGUGGUGGAUGUUUGCUCUUGUAUUUACUCUUCAUAGAGCCCAGCUCUGCUUGCUAGAGUCCUCGAAGCAAGUGCGCAGUGUCUGACGGUCUUGGGUUGCUUCUGACUCAUGGUGGCUGCUUGGGGGUCAUGCUGGAAACAUGGCACCCUCAACUCCUGCGUGGAACCAGUUGCCCCCACUGUGAUUCCUCUUGCUGCGGCUGGCCCUGCCUUCAUGGCAUUAGCGCAGCGGGGAGUUGCGGGCUCACUGUCUUAACACCUGUCUCCCCCACCAGACUAAACCCCAAAGGGCAGAACUCUCUCAUACACUUAGGACGGAGCAGGUCUCAGGUUAUUGCUGGACGGACCAAUGGAUGAGUGGAUGGACAGAGCAAAAAGAUGAAAAGACAGGAAGGCAACUGGGGUGUGACAGGCAGGGUGGCCUGACGCUCCCUGUGUGGACAAGACUUGGUGGGAGGUGCCGGGCAUGGCUAGGAGGACUUGGGGUGCAAAGUGUCCCCACAUCUGUCCUGAGGGCAGAAGCAAGGGUGAGCCUCCCUCCUGCUAGAGCUGGCGGAGUCUCCAAAAUAGAGUCCGGACCUGCAGGAACAGUGGCCCUUCCCAGUGCAAGAACGUCACUCAGAGUUGAAAGUUCUGGGGUCUCAGGGACCCCUGAAGUCCAUUCUUGAGCCCUUCCCGUGGCUGUGGCCUCCCCUUAGGCAGGGGAAAGGGGGCCAGUGGGGAGCUUCCCCAGGGGCCUCUCUGCAGGAGGCCGCUGGGCACAUGGUGGCCCCGCGCUGGGCGCUGUCAGCAGAAGUGCCUGGAUCCAGACCCUGGUGGAGACAGCAGGCCAGGAAACCAGUGGCCCCUCUGCCCCCCACUGGGGCCCCAUGAGUUACACCAGCCAGGCCCCACAGCUGAGGUACCAGGCGGAAAAGGCCUUGUGUGAAUGGGGCAAGAGGCCAGGGGCGCUGGGGAAGGCCAGGAAGAGAGCAGAGAGGCCUUCACUCACACGCAAGCGCACGCCCCAGGGGCUCAGGCCUUGAGACAUAGCUUGAGGUGGGGGUGUGGGGGGCUCCCUGCUUGUUCCCGCUAAGGCUGGCACCCCAGCCCUCUCUUUUGGGUGUCCCCAUGCCUGGGCUGUGCCGUAGCACAGUUCAUGGGAGCCCUGCCCCCAGGCCCUGCAGCCCUCACUGCCCCCAGCCCUGCUGCAGGGUUGGCCUCCCUUCUGUCACCCCACCUGCCACUCGCCCCUCUGUCUCGGGAAAACCCACUGUGAUUCCUUUCCAAGGCUGACCUUCCUUCUGGUGGCUUCUGCCCCAUUCCAGCUCCCCUUUCCCCAUGGGAUCAUUAGACACCGAGCCCUCCCGAGGGCCCAGCCAUGUGGGUGGAACACGGCAGUCACAGAAGAGGGAAGAGCCCUUUCUGCAUGGAGCUUGCUUCUGGAGGGGAGAGACAGACCACCAACAGGAAGUGGGUGGGCUGUGUCGUGUGUGGAAAAGCGGCAUGCUGGGAAAUGAAGCGGGGCAGGGGAGCAGCAGCGGCUCUCCCAGGCUUCCCUCCUGCGGCAUCUGUGCACCCCAGGCCUUCACCCUAGCACUGCUGACCUUCAGGGCUGCUUCCAUCCCUGGUGGGGGCCGUCCUGGGGAUUAUAGAGUGUUCAGCAGCUCCCCGAGCUAGAUGCUAGGAGCCACCACCACCAACGCCAAAAAAAGAUAGAUGCAUUUGCCACCUGGCUGGUUGCUCUCUGUAAACGUGAGCUAAACUGCUGGCCCAGGAUCGUUGACAUAGAGAAAAUCUGUGACUUCCCGGGAGUCCUGGUGAUGUGUGAUGUGUCGCUUAAUACAGAGUCUGGUGGAUAGAGAAAGACUUGUCUCCAUAGGUGUGCAGAGAGGGUUAGUAUAUGCCCUUUUAUUGCCUGGUUCUUUCCAGGGGCUCCCAGAGGACCUUGAAGCAGUGAGGCCACCCAGGCCUUAGUUGGUGGCGCCAUUCUCCCAUAAAAGGAACCAGGCUUUUGGUGAAAAUCGCUUAUUCUGGCUGAGCAUGGUGGCUCGUGCCUGUAAUCCUAGCACUUUGGGAAGCUGAGAUGGGCAGAUCACUUGAAGCCAGGAGUUCAAGACCAGCCUGGCCAACAUGGUGAAACCCCCAUCUCUACUAAAAAUACAAAAGUUAGCUGGCCGUGGUGGUGCAUGCCUGUAGUCCCAGCUACUCGGGAGGCUGAGGCACAAGAAUUGCUUGAACCCAGGAAGUGGAGGUUGCAGUGAGCUGGGAUUGCACCACUGCACUCCAGCCUGGGUGACAGAGACCCUGUUUCAAAAAAAAAAAAAAGACUUAUUCUUUGGUUGGAGCAAAGACUGCGAGGUGAGCCUGGAGCAUCAUGUGGUGUCAGGAAGGAAGUACCCCAGCAAUGGCGGCAGGUUUCAGGGACACAGGAGCUGACAGAAGGAGCUCCCAAGGGUCACAGCUGGGACAUGGGACUAGCAAAGCAGAACUGGACUGUGACCCAAUGCAUAGAAUAUCCACAGGUCCAGACUGAUAUAAAUCAUUCAAUAAGUAGAUGGAAGAGACAAAUCUCUUGCACAGAAUAAUUCCAAAUAAUUCCGGUAGAUACUUCCCCUCAAGGAGAUAGAACGUAGCUCCCCACCCCUGAAGUAUGCACAGUGCUUAGUGACUUGCUUCCAAAGAGUACACAUUGAAGGUGGGAAACGGUCUUCACUGAGGAGAAACCUGGGCAGCUGUGUCUUAGCCAGCUGGAGGCCCGUGUCAUCAGGGAUCCUCCUGUGCCUAAUACAUACCCUGGAUACCACAUGGUCUUCCUUCCCCAACUGCAUCAUCCCAAUGUAACCAUGAACCAAACAUCAGAUCACCCGAAUUGUGGGACAAUCUACAAAAUACCUGACUGGCACUCCUCAAAAUGGUCAAGGUUAUCAAAAUCAAGGAAAAGCUGAGAGACUCAGCCAAGCCUGGAGGAGCCUCAGGAGAUGUGAUGAUGAAAUGUCACGUAGGCUUCUGGAUGGAGUCCUGGAGCACAGAGAGGGCAUUAGGGAGAAGCCAGUGAUGUCUGCACACUGCGCGGGCUUCAGGCAAUACUGUUCAUUCGUGGUGACAAAUCACAUGGCAGUAUAAGUGGUAGAACCUGGGUGUUGGAGACACAGAAGCUCGGCACUAGCUUUUCAACUUUUCUGUAAAUCUAAAAGUUUAAAAUAAAAAGUUUAUUUAAAGUGUGUGUGUGUGUGUGUGAGAUAUAAACAGUUGUGACCCAGCACUCAUGAGCUAGGAGUGGUGCAGGCAGACUCUAAACAGAGAAACGGAGGCAUCACGCCUUCUGGGAGAGAUUGGUGCUACAGAAAAAAACAGGGCUGUGAAAUUGCAGCCUGCCCCCAACACCCUCACACCUGAUGCUCUGAUCUCCCACAUGUGAGCCAGGGGAAGAGGAGAGCAGCAGGCAAGGUCAGAGAAGGUGAGUCCCCUGUGGGCCAUGGGAGGGACACAGAGAUAAUGCCCCUCCACCUACAUGGUGGGGACAUUCUGGGAUGAAGGGGUAUGGGGGAACAUAGCUGCAUGUGGAGUGUGUGCACACGUGUGCAGCAUUUGUGUGCACAUGUAUUUGUGUGUGUGAGUGCACAUAACAGUAUGUGUGUACACUUGUAGCAUCUGAACUUGUGCAGUGUGUGUGUGUGUGUGUGUGUGUGCGCGCGCGCAUGUGGGAGUGACAUGACCACGCCCGUAAUGGGUGAGCAGAAGCUCCUUUUCCCGGCAGCUGUGGCAGCUCAGGUGAGAGAGGAUUACGGGGGGGCGACAUGAGGAAGGUGGGGAAGGUGGGUGGGCAGCGCAGGCAGUGAAGGAAGGGUCAGUGUCCAGGAGGCACCUGGGGCUUUGGCUGGAGCCACAGAUGUGCAGUGGGUGAGAUGGAGGGGGUGGGUGCUGGGUUUGAGUGGGGGUGCAGGCAGGGCAUUGUGGGGUGCCCUGGAAGCUGCUGCAUGCUCCUGUUUACAGUGUGGGACACGCUGCUAGGGAAGACCCAAGCUGCCUCCAAAACGAAGGCCAUGGUCAAGAGACUCGCUGGCCAGCUGGGGCCGCCUAGCAGAGAUGUCCUGGGGCCUGAGGCUCUGUCGGUCCCGCCUUCCUGGCUGUUGGCAGUGGUUUCCACAAGUCUAAGAAACCCAGAGCGCACUCCUGGCAGAAGGAGAGCCGGGGAGUCCUGCCUGCCCACAAACAUCUUCCCACACUCCCCUGAAAUUCUUCACUUUCUCAAAAGGCAAGACGGUCUUGUAAUUAGAGGUGAAUCUGGGCUGAUGCCACCCUCUCAAAAAGAAAAUGUGCUCGUGCACCAGGCAUUUGCACUUGCCUUUGAAUGCAGCCAUCUGUGGCCUGCUGUUUCACACCAAAUUGGGAGGACUGGCCUGCAGUCCAGGCCGGGUGGAAGGACACACCUGGCCUUGCUGCAAUGUCAAGUGAAAGGCAGGGAUGAGGGUGGGAAUGAGGGUGCCCCCUCCUCAGCUUUCUGAAGGAACAGCUUCCUUCUGGACAGUCCUAGAAAGGCCAGGGGAAGAGGAAGAAAAGAGGGGUCCCUAGCACCAUCACCAGCUCCCUGUGGCAAGCCAUCAUCAUCCAUGCCUCCAAGCAGACAGUCCACAAGACAAAUGCACACCUACUGCAUGCCAGACCCUUAUCUGGGCCUGGAGGAGGGCAAGAUGGACAUGAGCCUGUCCUCAUGGAGCUUAAAGCCCAUGCCUGAGACAGACCCUGGCCAAGUGAAUAGCAGGAGCUUAGCAGGAAGGUACAGGGAGGGCUUCCUGGAGGACGUGGCCAGACAGCCAAGCAAAAGGGAAAGGUGCCCACGUGAGGAUGACGACCGCUUGGGAAGACCUUGACCUCCUCUCGCCCUCCAGCCUGGAUUUUCCCCGGGGGUGCGAGCCAUUGUUUCACAUAGACAGUGACACACCCCAUUUUGCAUUUUGUAAAGUUCCUUCUAGAAUGCCAUUGGAGGCCAGAGUGGAAGUCAAGAGACAUGGAAAGUUGGUACUAUUGGAGUCUUCCUGGGACAAUGUCACAGUACCUGAACCAGGGAGGAGGUGACCGAGGGCAGACAGAAGAGGAACAGGGUCUAAGCAGCCUGGAAGGUGGCUGCCCGCAGCUGUGAGGAGCAGGGAGAGUGGUGGAGGAUGUGGGCUGGGCCGCCAUGUGGACAGGGAUGGGGAGGCUGGGGGGCAGAGGCUUGCUGAUGAGUUUGGUGUCUCCCCACUGGUCUUCCAGUGCCCAUUUGUAAAAUAAAGGAGGUGGAUGGACUAUUCGCCAAGUCCCCUCCUAGCUCAGGACCCCUCUGAGGUGGCGUAGGUGUAUCCUGCGGCCAUGGGGAGGGCUCAAACCCCAGCACCUCCAAACUUCAGGAACCACAACCUGUGGCGCAGUCUUGGCUCAGUUUGAUUAAACAUUCAGCUGUACUCGGCGGCAGCCCACAUCCAUAGCCGAUGCCCUUUCUGCAUGGAUGACUCACCAGAAUUAAUGUUCAUUUGAUUUUUACUAUAAAUUACGCCUCACAUAAUUUCUCCAUUAUGGACAGAGGAUGGCUUCUUGGGAAAGGCUAGAGCGGCUAUUUGGUCACUCAUGCUGGGGAAGUGCUGGGUCAUCGCUUCUCCCACGCACCGGCUGGCGGCAGAGGCGGCCACCCGGGCCAUGGGCAGGUGGCCUAAUGGAUGCAUCUCCCGAAUCCACUAAUGGGAGUGGCUCACCUUGGCCCCCAGAAGAGGAAGAGAGGAGUAGGCAGUGAGAGCUCCUGUUUUCCUGAACCACCUGAAUAUGGAAGAUUGCGAUGUGGAAGGCAAAAAAACAACAAAAAAAAUUCACACUUUUAAAGAUGGAAGGAUCUCCUUUCUUCCCUACCUCUUUCCUUCAAAUAUCAUGGCCUAUCCCCAGAGUCCAUACAGUCCUGGGCAAAAUGAGUCAGGUUCCAACCCCGGGGUGCUCUCAGGCUUGGGAGGAGACAGGUUGAUCAGGUCAUCUCUGAAGCCGGCACACUGCAAAGUGUGUGGGAAGAGCUGGGUCUUCCCAGAGGAAGUGGC